AUUGAACGCUGGCGGCAUGCUUUACACAUGCAAGUCGAACGGUAACAGGCCGCAAGGUGCUGACGAGUGGCGAACGGGUGAGUAAUGCAUCGGAACGUGCCCAGUCGUGGGGGAUAACGCAGCGAAAGCUGCGCUAAUACCGCAUACGAUCUAUGGAUGAAAGCGGGGGACCGUAAGGCCUCGCGCGAUUGGAGCGGCCGAUGUCAGAUUAGGUAGUUGGUGGGGUAAAGGCUCACCAAGCCAACGAUCUGUAGCUGGUCUGAGAGGACGACCAGCCACACUGGGACUGAGACACGGCCCAGACUCCUACGGAGGCAGCAGUGGGGAAUUUUGGACAAUGGGCGCAAGCCUGAUCCAGCAAUGCCGCGUGCAGG
RNAcentral lists this ribosomal RNA (374 nucleotides) under uncultured bacterium. Its description in RNAcentral is "bacterial SSU rRNA". It matches the Rfam family "Bacterial small subunit ribosomal RNA", at positions 29 to 407 of the family's 1533-position model. The record is from RNAcentral.